This 463-nucleotide ribosomal RNA is filed under the name uncultured bacterium. Its description in RNAcentral is "partial 16S ribosomal RNA". It matches the Rfam family "Bacterial small subunit ribosomal RNA", at positions 28 to 507 of the family's 1533-position model. The record is from RNAcentral.
GACGAACGCUGGCGGCGUGCUUAACACAUGCAAGUCGAACGGAAAGGCCUUUUCGGAGGUACUCGAGUGGCGAACGGGUGAGUAACACGUGGGUGAUCUGCCCUGCACUCUGGGAUAGGCCUGGGAAACUGGGUCUAAUCCCGGAUAGGACCGCACUUUGGGGGGGGGGGGGGAAAGUUUUUUCGGUGUAGGAUGAGCCCGCGGCCUAUCAGCUUGUUGGUGGGGUAAUGGCCUACCAAGGCGGCGACGGGUAGCCGGACUGAGAGGUUGGUCGGCCACAUUGGGACUGAGAUACGGCCCAGACUCCUACGGGAGGCAGCAGUGGGGAAUAUUGCACAAUGGGCGCAAGCCUGAUGCAGCGACGCCGCGUGGGGGAUGACGGCCUUCGGGUUGUAAACUCCUUUCGCCAGGGACGAAGCGUUUUGUGACGGUACCUGGAGAAGAAGCACCGGCUAACUACGUG